UGGCUGUCACCCGAGUGGGGGGAGCGUGGUUGGACUGUGCAUGAGGUGCGGAGGGCCCAGCUUUUCCAAUGCCGAUCCCGCGCCGACCUCAAGGCAGCGGUCGCCAUUGUUCACCUGCCGGAGGGCGAGUGGACUUGGGCGAUGAUGCGAGAUGAACCGCUUCAGGCUGGAAACAGAGCAAGGAAAAGUCUCCGCCGUUGUCAGUGAGGCGAUCACGUGGGUGAAU
Molecule: signal recognition particle RNA, 226 nt
Filed under: Rhodomonas sp. CCMP768
Lineage: Eukaryota; Cryptophyceae; Pyrenomonadales; Pyrenomonadaceae
Description: partial Protozoan signal recognition particle RNA
Rfam family: Metazoan signal recognition particle RNA
About the family: The signal recognition particle (SRP) is a universally conserved ribonucleoprotein. It is involved in the co-translational targeting of proteins to membranes.
Source: RNAcentral